RNAcentral lists this ribosomal RNA (493 nucleotides) under uncultured bacterium. RNAcentral's name for it is "partial 16S ribosomal RNA". It matches the Rfam family "Bacterial small subunit ribosomal RNA", at positions 28 to 507 of the family's 1533-position model. The record is from RNAcentral.
GACGAACGCUGGCGGUGUGCUUAACACAUGCAAGUGGAGCGACGAACCAGGGCUUGCCCUGGGGCUGAGCCGCGAACGGGUGAGUAACACGUGGGUAUCGUCCCCCUAUUACGGGGAAACCCCGAGGAACCUCGGGCAAUUACCCGAAGUUCCUUCCUCCCAUGAGGGAGGCGCGUAAAGGAAGACUCGGCCUCCGAAUCGGGGGCGGCCCGCGCCCUAUUAGGUUGUUGGUGGGGUAACGGCCUACCAAGCCUGCGAUAGGUAGCUGGUCUGAGAGGAAGAUCAGCCACACUGGAACUGAGACACGGCCCAGACUCCUACGGGAGGCAGCAGUGGGGAAUCUUGGGCAAUGCGCGACAGCCUGACGCAGCAACGCCGCGUGUGUGAAGAAGGCCUUCGGAUUGUAAAGCCCUUUCAGUUGGGACGAAGGCCAGCCAGUGAAUAGCCUGGUCUGUUGACGUUACCUCCACAAGAAGCCCCGGCUAACUACGUG